Neofelis nebulosa (Clouded leopard) is the source of this 3216-nucleotide RNA transcript. It is a transcript of the gene named family with sequence similarity 178 member B, with no coding region annotated. The record is from RefSeq and is a predicted model, not a curated record. NCBI's taxonomy places the organism in Eukaryota, Metazoa, Chordata, Mammalia, Carnivora, Felidae. The transcript has 18 exons.
CACGGUGCUGGACGGCUGUUGCCUGCCCAAGUGCAACCUCCGCAUGCAUCGUUGGGGGCGCGGGAAGGCUCCAGCGGCCCUGGAGGACAGAACGUCCAGCAGUUUGCAGAUGGCCAGGCCCCAGAAGACUCUGCUAGCCCUUCCUCAGAGAGAAGGGGUCCAGGCAGCCGCUGUGGCACCCACCCUGUUGCCUAACUUGAAGAGGAGCUGCUUCGACCAUGCUCUGCACCAGGGGCUCCUCCACCCCACCCGGCGGCGCUGCAGUCCCACCUCAGCUCCAAAUCCCAAAUUGUCAAAGAAGCGCAAAGUGCAUGCAGCCGGGGACGUGUUCCCCACUGAUUGGAGCCCACCACCCAUAGAGUUCCUGAACUUGAGGGUACCACAGGCCAGCAAGGGGGCCCCAGCACAGAGGUGGGUAGGCCCAGGGGGCCCUCAGGGCCUGAGGACAUGGGCUCCCCAGCUGCCUGAGGAGUUAGGCCAGGAGCCCCAGGACUUGGACCCCCAGGGGAGCCUGACCUCACUGGAGGAGCUGUUCUGGAAUAUGGCAGGCCCAAGCCAGAAGGCUACAGCUCCAGUGGUGGACACCCACACCUUGUUCAUCUCUGGAGCCUCGGAGAGCUAUGCCAAUAGCUUAGAUUACUUACUACAGGAGAAGCGGGAACAGGCCCUAGAGCAGGAGCGAGAGAAGCUGCUUCUGCAUGAUUGUCCUGACCUCUACUCCCUGCAUCUGGCUGAAGAUGAGGCGCCUCUCACACCUGAGCACAGGAUGCUGGUGGAGAGGUUCUCCAUGUCACUACAGGUCAUCCCACCAGUACAUCCCGGUGAAACCGUGUUUCUACCCAGGCGUCAUCCCCUGUAUUGCAUCCUGGACUGUUCACACCUGAAGCCACGUAGCCACCUGGAAGGGCUCUUCCUCAGCUGCCCACUGGCCCAGCAGCUCUCCUUCCUGCGCAGUGGCCUCCUGAGCAACCUCUACCUGCACACCCCCGACUGCCCUGUGCCCCUGCUCCAGUGGCUCUUCCAGCUGCUGACAUGGCCUCCAGAAACUUCUUCAGGAGCCUUUGGCCUCCUGUGGGAUCUCAGUGUGAAUGGGCUCUUCCAUCAGUCUGAUGGAGACAAGCACUGGUGGUGCCCCUCCCUGCAAGAGGUCACGGAGGUGUUUCACAGCCUGGGAGCCUGUAGCCCUGCUCUGGGCCUGCGUGAGCCCUGUCAGCACAGUGGGAGGGUGCUUAAAAAUAGCACUAGCCUGAACUGGAGUGAGCAGGAGGACGCCCCCCUGGAGAUUGCCUUGGAUGUCAGCCUGAACUACAUCUACAAGUUCCUAGCGCUGUGUGCCCUAGCCCAGCCAGGGGCCUACACUGAUGGGGACCUCCUGGGCCUGAUUGAGCUGCUGUGCCGAGUUGGCCUGGAUGUGGGGCUUCGCCUGCUUCCCAAGACUGAUCUUCAGCAGCUUCUGCUUCUGCUCCUCGAGAACAUCCAUGAGUGGCCAAGGAAGCUCCAGAAGCUGUGCUGCAGCCUGAGCGAGGUGUCAGAUCACCACCACAACCUGCUGGCGCUCGUGCAGUUCUUCCUGGACGUGACCUCCCGGAGCAGGCAGCUUCGAAGCCAGCUCAGCCUUGUGGUCAUUGCCCGGAUGCUAGACCAGCAAGAGACGCUCCCUCUCUGGCAAGAGAAGGCCCAGCUGUCUUUGCUCAGCCAGCUUCUGAGCCUCAUGAGGCCAUCAUCCCUCAGACAGUACCUGGGCUCUGAAACCUUGCCACCCUGCCAGGAGCAACAGCCAAAGACCAAUGCUGAACUAGACCACAAGAGCCCAUCUGGCAGCAAAUGUCUGUUCAACAACCAGAGAAGAAGAGGAGGAAGCGGGCUGAGGGUCUGCUACCUGUGCCACAGCCUUCUGACACUGGCCGGGGUGGUGGUCAGCUGCCAGGACAUUACUCCAGACCAGUGGGGAGAGCUGCAGCUGCUGUGCAUGCAGUUGGACCGCCACAUCAACACCCAUAUCCGGGAGAGCCCCCACGCCAUGCACCGGACCAGACUCAAGGACCUGGCGGCCCAGACCUACGUCCGCUGGCAGGAACUCCUGGCUCACUGCCAACCCCAGGUGGUGCCCCCUCAAGCCCCCCGCUUAGGAGGGGAAGGAAGUGGUCAGGUGGGCUGCCCAGAGCCAGCAGCAUGCCAACCCCCACUGCAACUCCUGAGCUCCUGACUGGCAGAUGGGUGGAGAAGGCAUCAUGGGGUGUGGAGCUGCCUUGGAGGACCUUCAUCUUUCUUAUCAAGAAUCAAAUGCCCUGGGGCGCCUGGGUGGCUCAGUCGGUUUAGCAGUUAAGCAUGGGGACUCUUGAUUUCGGCUCAGGUCAGAUCUCCUUGGUUCUGAGCCCUGAGGCAGACUCUGAGCUGACAUUGAGGAGGAGCCUGCUUGGGGUUCUCUCUCCCUGCCCUCUCUCUCUGCCAUUCCCCACGUGUGUGUGUGUGUGUGUGUGUGUGUGUGUGUGUGUGUGUGUGUAUGUACUCUUUCUCUCAAAAGAAAUAAAUAAACUUUAAAAAAAAAAAAAAGGAUCAAAUGCCCAGUGUGGGGGUAUAGUGAGGGAGAAACAGAGAGCCCAAUUCCUGGGCAAAUGCAAAGAAAAACUUCACCCUAAAGAGGGUAGAGCCUGGGCCAGGAGUAGCAGUGAGCAGGGCCAGGAAGGGGCACCAGAGGACCCAACUGUCUACCCUCUUCCCACUUGUUCUGCAGGCCUGAGGCUGGCCUCCUACUCUGCUGAAAGGGACCCUCUCAGUCUGCCCUGGUCUCUCCAAUUUCUGUAGCAACAACCUCCACACCCCUGAUUUUCUCAAGUUCUCUAGGCCCAGUACUUCAGCCCCUGGAAAGACUAAAGGAGCAGGGCAGGGCCGGCCCUAGGCUCUUGGCUCUGGCAGGAAGCGAACAGGGCUCAGGGAACAGGAGGAAGCUAAGAACAACAGAGGCGAGAGGAGGACCAGUGUGGUGAAGCAAGAGCCUGCCUCCACACAGCCCCUGACCCCCACCAGGCAACGGAUAUGGCCUCUGCCUGCCUGGCCCACCCCUCCGCUCUCCUUCCCUCCCAGCCAUCUCCUAUGCCCCAAGGCCUUUGUCUCCACACUCCGGUUUCCCAGGGCCUCCUGGGCCCUCCCACCCUCCUUCCUCUCUCCGUCACUAAUGUGAGCUUUCUUUGUGCACACUAAAGUCUUAUUUCAGCA